AUUGAACGCUGGCGGCAUGCCUAAUACAUGCAAGUCGAGCGAAUGGAUUAAGAGCUUGCUCUUAUGAAGUUAGCGGCGGACGGGUGAGUAACACGUGGGUAACCUGCCCAUAAGACUGGGAUAACUCCGGGAAACCGGGGCUAAUACCGGAUAACAUUUUGAACCGCAUGGUUCGAAAUUGAAAGGCGGCUUCGGCUGUCACUUAUGGAUGGACCCGCGUCGCAUUAGCUAGUUGGUGAGGUAACGGCUCACCAAGGCAGCGAUGCGUAGCCGACCUGAGAGGGUGAUCGGCCACACUGGGACUGAGACACGGCCCAGACUCCUACGGGAGGCAGCAGUAGGGAAUCUUCCGCAAUGGACGAAAGUCUGACGGAGCAACGCCGCGUGAGUGAUGAAGGCUUUCGGGUCGUAAAACUCCGUUGUUAGGGAAGAACAAGUGCUAGUUGAAUAAGCUGGCACCUUGACGGUACCUAACCAGAAAGCCACGGCUAACUACGUGCCAGCCGCCGCCGUAA
Molecule: ribosomal RNA, 515 nt
Filed under: uncultured bacterium
Lineage: Bacteria
Description: partial 16S ribosomal RNA
Rfam family: Bacterial small subunit ribosomal RNA
Source: RNAcentral